AAGAAAGAUAGGUCUGUCAGCGUAAUGGGAUAAAGCACCUAGUGUUUAUAAAAAUAAGAGUAUAGCACUUUGUGAACUUUGAGAAAUGUGAACGAACAUUGAUUGGUAAAAUGUCUAUUUUAUAACUGCAUUUAAAUCAUCUUGAAAGUUUGAAGAACAUGCACCACUUUAUUUAAGGAUGCCUUAAAUACAGAAUUUGCCAAGUAGUGAAAGCUGGAGAUGAAAUGUGGAGAGUCUUAUGGGUAUUUUGACCAACAAUGAAUCCAAUACUGAAAUGGAAGAGGCCAUAUUUGUCACCGAGUCUUAGACCCAAAGAUAUGGAUUUUGGCAUCUUCUUCAAACUAGCUGUAGAAAUGGAGCUGCAUAUAGGUAAGCAGAAACGCUGCAGUUUCUUAAGAAGUUUUUGACAAUAACUUCAGGUAAAAAUGAGAACUUUUCCUACACUGUAAACUGUCCACUACUGGGUGGGGGAUUUGUGAAAAUGUAUCAUUCUACUAAGUGGAGAGAUUCCUUACAUUAUUCAUUCAAGGUAUUUUUCCUAUUUUUCCUGUGGAGGAGACAGAG
Molecule: long non-coding RNA, 564 nt
Filed under: Homo sapiens (human)
Lineage: Eukaryota; Metazoa; Chordata; Mammalia; Primates; Hominidae
Description: HSALNT0056272
Source: RNAcentral